UUAGAGUUUGAUCCUGGCUCAGGAUGAACGCUGGCGGCGUGCUUAACACAUGCAAGUCGACGAGAAUCUACGGAUAGAGGCUUCGGCCAAUUGAAGUAGAGGAAAGUGGCGGACGGGUGGUAACGCGUGAGGAACCUGCCUAGGAGUGGGGAAUAACAGUCCGAAAGGACUGCUAAUACGCAUAAUGCAGUUGGGUCGCAUGGCUCUGACUGCCAAAGAUUUAUCGCUCUUAGAUGGCCCGCGUCUGAUUAGCUAGUUGGUGAGGUAACGGCUCACCAAGGCGACGAUCAGUAGCCGGAUGAGAGGUUGGCCGGCCACAUUGGGACUGAGACACGGCCCAGACUCCUACGGGAGGCAGCGUGGGGAAUAUUGGGCAAUGGGCGCAAGCCUGACCCAGCAACGCCGCGUGAAGGAAGAAGCUUUCGGGUUGUAAACUUCUUUUAACAGGGACGAAACAAAUGACGGUACCUGUUGAAUAACCACGGCUAACUACGUGCCAGCAGCCGCGGUAAUACGUAGGUGGCAAGCGUUAUCCGGAUUACUGGGUGUAAAGGGCGUGUAGGCGGGGACUGCAAGUCAGAUGUGAAAACCAUGGGCUCACCUAUGGCCUGCAUUUGAAACUGUAGUUCUUGAGUGCUGGAGAGGCAAUCGGAAUUCCGGUGUAGCGGUGAAAUGCGUAGAUAUA
RNAcentral lists this ribosomal RNA (685 nucleotides) under uncultured Bacillota bacterium. RNAcentral describes it as "bacterial SSU rRNA". It matches the Rfam family "Bacterial small subunit ribosomal RNA", at positions 1 to 698 of the family's 1533-position model. The record is from RNAcentral. Lineage: Bacteria; Bacillati; Bacillota.